GUAGAUUAUGACCUGGAAAAUCUAGAACCUCCCAUUUUAACUGUAGAAGAGGCUCUUGAGAGGUCUAGCCUUUUUGAGAUACCGCCUAUGCUCUAUCCCAAACAAGUAGGUGAUUUAUCUAAGGGAAUGGCUGAAGCUGAUCAUAAGAUUCUCUCUGCCGAGAUAAAACUUGGGUCCCAAUAUUAUUUCUAUAUGGAGAAUNNNNCUUCCUGAUGAAGACAACUGCAUGGUGGUUUACAGUUCAAGUCAAUGCCCUGAGAAUGCACAGGUUGCGAUUGCAAAAUGUCUUGGUGUUCCUGAACAUAAUGUGCGUGUGCUUACAAGAAGGGUUGGAGGAGGUUUUGGUGGAAAGGCGAAAGCCAUGCCUGUUGCUACAGCAUGUGCACUUGCAGCACACAAGUUGCAGCGCCCUGUUAGGAUAUAUAUGAACCGCAAGACUGAUAUGGUAAUAGCAGGAGGAAGGCAUCCUAUGAAAAUAACAUACAGUGUAGGAUUCAAAUCUAAUGGGAAAAUCACUGCCUUACAUCUUGAUAUCUUAAUUAAUGCUGGCAUAACUCUGGACUGUAGCCCAUUGAUGCCAAAAGCCAUUGUGGGUGCACUUAAAAAGUAUGAUUGGGGUGCUUUAUCAUUUGAUAUAAAGUUAUGCAAAACAAACCUGUCAAGUAAAUCAGCAAUGCGUGGCCCUGGAGACCUGCAAGGAUCAUAUAUUGCAGAAGCAGUAAUUGAACAAGUAGCAUCUUUUCUUCCCAUGGAGGCAGAUACUGUGAGGGCCAUAAAUUUUCACACGUAUGAUAGCCUUCAGUUAUUCUAUGGUGUUGCUGCAGGGGAUCCUCUAGAAUAUACUUUAACUUCAAUAUGGGAUAAGUUAGCCACAUCUUCAAGCUUUGACCAAAGGACUGAAAUGAUACAAGAGUUUAAUAGGAAUAAUGUGUGGAAAAAGAGAGGUAUUUCGCGAAUGCAUUGUGUGUACGAUGUGACAUUGAGACCAACUCCUGGAAAAGUAAGCAUUCUAAGUGAUGGGUCUAUUGUUGUUGAAGUUGGAGGAAUAGAGAUAGGUCAGGGUCUCUGGACAAAGGUGAAACAGAUGGUUGCAUUUGGUCUCAGUGCAAUCAAAUGCGAUGGAGCAGAAGACUUCUUGGAUAAGGUACGAGUUGUACAAGCUGAUACUUUGAGUUUAAUUCAAGGAGGGAUCACUGGUGGGAGCACUACAUCUGAGUCAAGCUGUGAAGCAGUCAGACUUAGCUGUGAAGCAUUGGUUGAGAGACUGAUACCUCUAAAGGAAAGGUUGCUGAUGCAAACGGACUCAAUAAGAUGGGAGAAACUUAUCCAACAGGCAUAUUUGGAAGCUGUGAACUUAUCAGCGAAUUCUUUCUUCAUUCCUGACUCUGCUUCAACAAAUUACUUAAACUAUGGUGCUGCUGUGACUGAGGUGGAAGUAGAUCUUCUGACAGGGCAAACAACAAUUUUGAGAUCUGAUAUUUUAUAUGAUUGUGGACAAA
Molecule: unclassified non-coding RNA, 1499 nt
Filed under: Hevea brasiliensis (rubber tree)
Lineage: Eukaryota; Viridiplantae; Streptophyta; Magnoliopsida; Malpighiales; Euphorbiaceae
Source: RNAcentral